Oryza punctata is the source of this 74-nucleotide non-coding RNA. NCBI's taxonomy places the organism in Eukaryota, Viridiplantae, Streptophyta, Magnoliopsida, Poales, Poaceae. The record is from Rfam.
GAAAGCCGUAUUCGAUGAAAGUCGUACAUACGACUUGGAGGGAGAUCUUUCCUAUUUUUCGAGAUUCACCCUAC